GAGCCACUGCUGUAUUAAGUUUGUCCUCCUGCUGUUACCGUAGCUCCUUUCCCCUUUGUCACGCCUUCCAGUUAGCUUCUAAGUGGCUAGGUUUCCUUAGCGGCAACACCACUUUCUAUAAAAUAACAGGCUCACCGGUAGGCCGACUAAGAUCCCUGGUUUCUGUAAACACUGCCGAUUCGGCUAUCCUUGGUUCCCUGGGUGUUCGUCUGUGAAAGGUGUCCUACUGUCGCUAGACGCUUCCGAGUAGUUGGUGGGUAGAUCUACUACUGAAGGUCUCGGGUGAAAAGACGUUUCAACGAAGCCCUGCACUGUUUACCAAGGAACCUAGCCAACAAAGGUACAUUUAUUUGUAACUCUCGUUAGGGAGAGAAAUAUUUGUCUGUAAACCCUUUUGCUCUUAUCUAUGUCUGUUUACUACCUAUAUGUGAUUGUUGCCGCUUUAGUAUGAUGUAGCACAUGUGAGCUAAUCAUGUCCUCAGUCUAUGAUGCAAAUGCCUGUCUCGCUGUAUCUGACAUAUGCUUGUGUACAGCAGUGUUCUCAUGCCAGCUUGUGGUGACGAGCGCCAGGGGUCCCCUUGCCAUGUUGUGUUUGCUUUUAGGAUGCACUGAGGUAAAGUAGAAUGAUGCCUAGUGUGAAGGUGUAAAUCCUGUCAAUAGAAAACUGUUAUUUGUUGAUUGUGUAUUGUUUAUGGAUGACUGAUUCUGACUGUUUUGUGUCUCCAGAACCAGUUGCCACUGCUGUUUUGCCUACUGUAAAAUUAAUGUAAAGUAGCUUUCGCCCGUUUUGUUUGUUUUCUUUUCUGUUUAGUUGGUCUCAUUUGGUAUUAUUUGACUUGGCCGUUACCUUUUAGCUUCCUGUUACCUCUCUCCUUCACGGCAUUAGGGCAUGUGUGGUACUGGCUGCCCCAGUAGUUUGCUACCAGUAAAAUCCUUCCUAUUCAGCUUGCUCUACUGUUUUCCCAGUCACUGAGUGCUAACCAUCCCCUCCCCCUUCUCUCUUCUCCAGAGUAAUAGUGAAGCUGCUCACGGGGCAGGUCGCCGGAUCUGAGUCCUCCUCUUCGCACACUGCUCACAGUAUUUUGUAGUGGUAACGUGCACCUCACCAUUUGCUGUGAUCACAUUGUUGCAGUAGUUGUGCCUAUGCGUGUGUAUGUGUGUCUGUGUGAAUAGGCACCAGAGUCAAGAGCACGAGUGUUGUGUCGGCAUCACACUUCUCCCAGGACAGGUAAACGCUCCCCAUCAGCUGACUAGCUAUCUCUCCCCUACUACUGUCCCAAAGAGUAAUAUCCCUGGUGGCAGCCAUUACCACUUCCCCUUGCCGCUCACCAUAGUGGGUCUGCGCUCUAGUGCUUAACCGCAUAAAUGGCCUUUUAAGUGAAUUCCAUAUUAAUAAAUCUUGUUUAUUUUUGUACUGGAAUCACGUCUCUGUCUUUACUCAUCUUAUCUGUGUGUCUCAUCGAAUGUACUUGGGUUUACAACAUAUCUUGGUGUGAAAGGCCCCAAGUGGCG
Molecule: long non-coding RNA, 1512 nt
Organism: Alosa alosa (allis shad)
Lineage: Eukaryota; Metazoa; Chordata; Actinopteri; Clupeiformes; Clupeidae
Exons: 3
Source: RefSeq, a predicted model, not a curated record